GUGGCAUUCGAGACCUUCUGGGUGGGAAGGAGGCAGCCAUGUGGUGAUCUGGGGAAGAGUGCUGCAAGCAGAAAGGCAAGUAAAAACAAAAGCCCUGAGGCAGAAAUGUGCUCCUUAUGCUUAAGAAACACCGUGAAGGCCAACGUGGUUGGAGCAAUGUGAGCAAGAAGAAUAGAGGGGCCUUGGGAACAUAGGUAGCUGAGUCCUCAUGGAUCAAGGCACCUUGACUUUAAGUGUCUGUUACACCAAAGGUUAUGGCAAACUGUGUCUGCAGCCCACAGUAAAAUCCAGUUUAAGGCUCUCCACACUGGAGUGCAGCUAUCCAGUUUUUCAGCCAUUUCCAAAAGGAAUUAUAUUGAUGUGUUAGUUGACAAGCCUACAAUGAAAAGAUAGAUGGGAAAAGAAGACCAUCAGACAGGUGGCUGGAUAUGUGGAGACAAGCACGAAGAAGUCCAGGCUCUGUCACGACGUUGCUGACUGGCUUCUGUCACAUUUUCAGGCAUCUUUUAGCUAGAGGUGCGCGUGUGACACCACAUGGACUGUGAGAAAUAGUCAAGUUCAGCCUAGUGACGCUUCUGGCAAAGCUUGUUUUCCUGAUUUUUAAAAAAGGAGUUGGGGGAGUGCCAUGCCUUUUGUCCUUCCUCCCUCCUCCUGCCUGGAACAUGGAUGUGAGACCAGGAAGUACAGCAGCCAUCUUGUGACCAUGAGGACUAAAGGCCUGCGCUGAGGAUGGUACAGUAAAAUGAAAGAAGCAGCCUGGAUGCCUGAUGAGCAGCUGUGCCAGCCCCAGGGUCAUGCAAAUCAGUGUCAAUCAUUGUGGUUCUGGUUUUCUCCUAUUUGUAGCCAAAUAAAUUCCUUACUGAUAUAGGCAGGGUCCUUGUUGGUUCCAAAAAAAAGUGGAUUCACAGAAAUAUAACUGAGAGAACCAUGAAUUUCUAAAGAAGUCCUAGAAAUAGAUCAGUCAGAGAAGUUGUCCAUUUCAGGCAGGGGUUUCUACUGUAAGUUGCUUGGAUGGAAAAUAAAUCAGUGUUAAGGAGGUGAGAAUGCCAUCACUUGAAUUGUAUGACUAUAUCUUAUUAAAUCUCAGAUGCCAUCAGUUGUAAGGUAUAGCAUUAUUUUACAUAUCACUAUGAGAGAAGAAAAUGCUCUCAAGACAUAUCACUGAUUGUAAGAUGCAUCCACCUUGAUUUCAGAGAUUUUAAAAUGUGAAAAAAGGGAGGGACAUCUUAGGAUCAGUGAAAUAUGGCACAUAUUUAUUUGCUUCCUUGAUUCCUGCCUGCUGUGCUCAUUAGACCAGAGACACUGUCUGCCAUGCUCUCUGCCAAGUCCUCCAUACCUAGAAUUGGGCCUGGCAUAGAGUGGGGUCUAUAAAUAUUGGUUAAUUAAUAAGUUAACUAAUAAGUUCUAGUCCUUGCUUUUCCAAUAACUUCCCAUGCUACCCUGGCUGGAGAAAGCAUUUCCCUUUCUCUGUACCUCAUUUCUCCAUAAUCUAGUUCAACUGACCCUCACCAGAACUGAAGAAACAAAAAGCCCCAAAUACAUGCAAAGCGGACCUACACUCUGCAUCACCAUGGUGACGCCUCCCAGGGUCCCAGAGGGCAGGGAGGCCUCAUCUUCCACCAUCCCUAGAAAUCUCUCUUUCCCCAGAGCCCAACUCCUUCUAAAGCUCUGUGGUUAACCCUUUCCAGGCAAGCCUUUUCCAACACUCUGUUAGGGUUACUAAAUGUGCUCCCUACAAAUGGACUAGGGCCAAGGAAUUAUGCAAGAUCCUUCAAGCAAAGAGAUGGUAUUUUGUAACUUCCCUGAGUUUCUCCAGGAAGAUGAAAUGCACAACAUAUUUUAGAAUAAUAUCAACCUACAUAUGUCAGAGAGGUAGUCUUGUCUGACCAAAGCCCUUGAGCUGGUGAGGGGCGGGGUUCCAGGUGCCCCUUCUGCUGCACUAGCAUUGUAUUCAGAAGUAAUAAAGAUGAUGGCUUUCAUGU
RNAcentral lists this long non-coding RNA (1982 nucleotides) under Homo sapiens (human). RNAcentral's name for it is "long independently transcribed non-coding RNA 1800 (LINC01800)". The record is from RNAcentral. Lineage: Eukaryota; Metazoa; Chordata; Mammalia; Primates; Hominidae.